AUUGAACGCUGGCGGCAGGCCUAACACAUGCAAGUCGAGCGGGGACUUCGGUCCUAGCGGCGAACGGGUGAGUAAUGCUUGGGAAUCUGCCCAGUAGUGGGGGAUAACGUCCCGAAAGGGACGCUAAUACCGCAUACGUCCUACGGGAGAAAGAGGGGGAUCUUCGGACCCCUCGCUAUUGGAUGAGCCCAAGUCGGAUUAGCUAGUUGGUAGGGUAAUGGCCUACCAAGGCGACGAUCCGUAGCUGGUCUGAGAGGAUGAUCAGCCACACUGGAACUGAGACACGGUCCAGACUCCUACGGGAGGCAGCAGUGGGGAAUAUUGGACAAUGGGCGAAAGCCUGAUCCAGCCAUGCCGCGUGUGUGAAGAAGGCCUUCGGGUUGUAAAGCACUUUAAGCGGGGAGGAAGGUUCGCGGCCUAAUACGUCGCGGAAUUGACGUUACCCGCAGAAUAAGCACCGGCUAACUCUGUG
This 472-nucleotide ribosomal RNA is filed under the name uncultured bacterium. RNAcentral's name for it is "partial 16S ribosomal RNA". It matches the Rfam family "Bacterial small subunit ribosomal RNA", at positions 30 to 507 of the family's 1533-position model. The record is from RNAcentral.